AACAAUAGAAAGUAUUCAAAACCCGAAUACAAAGAGCAAAUCCCAAAGAAACCCAAAUAUCUCAAAUAUAAAAGCUCUCCUUAAAAGCUCUUUAACAAAUCUCACACAAAAAAUAUUUAACGCAAAUUUAAUUCUCUAAAACAAAUUGUUACUAAAUAGAGUUCCAAAGGCCCUUUAAAUAAGCUUGGAACAUGAGUCCAAUAUGACUAAAAUAACAUGUAGGAAAUAGAAUUCAACUGGGAGAAAUAGUCCUGUUGAAAGUAAAAAACAUAAUUGUAUUUCUCCAGCAGUUAUUGUGUUGUCUCGACGUGGUGUCUCUUCCUCAUCUCGAUGUCACUGCUGGUUUGUUGGGUGCCAAAGGCGUCGUGCCAUGCCGACGUGCUUCACCUAGCUUGUCCUGACGUCAUGUAGAUUUCUGCUCUUCUUCGGUUGCUUGUCGAUUUUUAACUUACAUGCCUGCAACGUCUCUAAUAAAUGCAAAGCAUAGACCACAAUACUCAAUAUUUGUGUAGUUCAAAUCAAUGAAAAAUCUAUGCAAAAUAAAAAUAAAAAUUAUUACUGAUACAAUGUUAUCUAUUAAUAUUAUUUUUUCUUAAUAAGUUGGGUUCAACUUCAACUUAACUAUAUAGUUGUAUAACAACUCUAUUAUUUUUAAAAAAUAAAAAUUAUUAUUUAUAAUAUCAAUUUAAUAAUAUAAUGAAUAAAAAAAAAUUUAUUGAUUUAAAUUUUUUUCAAACUCAUACUUUUAUAUAGAGUGAUUUCAUAUCUUCAACGUCAACAAAGCCGCCAAGAAAUAUUAAAAAAAUUAGUAUCUUCAAUGCUAAUUAUUAUUAGCACAAAAACAUCAUUUCAUGCAAUCAUUUGAAAAAGUUUUUUUUUUUAGGUUGACAAAAACAAAAAUUAAGUAAUAACGAUAACAAUCAACCCGUUAUACUCGCAUUUUUAUAAGUAUGCAGAGCUCCUUGUAUAACUUGGUGGAUCCAUGAACAGUACAAGCUUUGACACUUCAUUAUUUGCGUACUUAGUCAUUUGAUCAUAUUUUGCGACCUUUGAAUAUGGCGAAUUCUUAUUCUCCAAUUUCGUUUGAGAAGGUAACUAAUUAAAUGUAAUUCAACCAACUUACUAGAAUCAGCUCUACCAGCUAGCAGACUCUCCACUAAAAGUGCAUUAUCACGUUCUAGUUAUACUUGCCUUGCCUGAAUACUUUCUCCCAUGCUAUGCUCAGACCUUCAUGUAUGGCACGUGUUUCAAUCUGAAAAAUUGAUUCCUUGCUCACCACCAUUGAAAACCCACAAAACCAUCUCUCAUCCGCAUCCCUAAAUACACCUCCCACCAACGCCCAAUUAUUUAUACCUAAUACAACUCAAUCUGUGUUGAGCUUAACCCAGCUAUUCUCAAGUGGUGACCAGUAAAUGUCCGAUGCCGAUGGAUUCAGUUGUGGCCCAACUACACCUGGAUUUGUAUAACUCCCUGCCCAUAAAAUACUUGUAUCAAAAAUUUUUUCCACACAAUUAUGGCCAUUAGCAAAAACAAAAAAGUUACUAUCCUUCCACAAUAGCCCACAUAAGAUCGAGAACAAGGACUGCACUCGAAAUUCUCAGACCCCCAUCCUCUUAUGCUUUUUAAGUUCCACUUCAACCAAUCAGUAAGUGGCAUAGAAAAGAACAAUAAAUGAGCAUUUUCCGGUACUACAGACAACUAUACUAUUCUUGAAAAAGAGCAAUCUCUAAUUACAUGAAGUCCUGAUUCCAACACUUCUCCACAUCUAGGACAAUGUCUUUCAUUAGUCAUAUGUCUCCUUGCUCUCUCUCCAUUAGUCAGUAAUUUGUCUUACCAAAAGUUCCAAAGAAAGACACGUACUCUUUGAGGCACUUUGGCUUUCCAAAUUAAUUUCCAACAGGAAGAGUCUACGCCACGAACAAGAUGGUACAAACACCUGUAAGUUUCGGCACUUGAGAACUUGUCUUUAGACAUCCACUUCCAAGCCAGUCUAUCUGUUCCUGUAACAGAGGCGGGGGGGGGGGGAUCAUAGAAAAAAUGACCCUAACAAUGUUCUCAGGAAGUAAACUGGAUAACCGAGGCCAAUCCCUAGCCCCACUAUUAGCCACCAAAUCGUAGACACAUAGCGUAUCAUCUGGAUGCCCAGUACCAACGUAGAGAUCCCUAAGUUGGUCAACCUGUUUAACCCACAUAUCAUUCCAGAAAUUAGUGAGUCGACCAUCAUCUAUAGCCCAAAACACAUUGCUUACCACAUCUGGCCAAACCUUCAUCAGUGAUCUCCAAAUGUACGAACAAUUACUCUUUACUACGGACAUCGGUAAAACCCCUUGAACUCUGUAUUUAUUCCUCAAUAAUUGUCCCAUGGUGCUUCUGUAUUAGUAAGGAUCUGGAACCCCAAUUUCAUUAAGAAAAUCUUAUUCUGAGUAAUUAAGCUUCUAAGGCCAAGACCUCCAUAUUUAAUAGGACGACAAUAAUUUUCCCAAGACACUAAUGCUGCUUUUCUUGACUGAGAUGCGGAACCCCAUAUGAAGCUACGAGUUAAGUUUUCAAUUUCGCUGUAUACAGAAACUGGAAUACAGAUAGUACUCAUGAAGUAAUUGGGAAUACUACGCAAAACCUAUUUAACCAGAGUGAUUCUACCCGCCAAAGAAAGUUUACUUGCUUCCCAACCAUUUAAUUUACUUCGAACUUUUUUAAGCACAAAUUCAAAAGCAUUAGACGUGACAUGAGUAUGAAACAAGGGAAUGCCAAGAUAGUUCCCAAUAUUGUCCACAAGUGCAAAACCAAUUUCACUAAAAAUUCCAUUUGCAACAUCACUCGAAGUAUUAGGUGAGAAGAAAACCUGUGACUUCUCUCUAUUCACUCUUUGGCCCGAAAAAUGAUAGAAUGUACGAAGAAUAUCAUUCACUUGACUUGCUUGAACCAUGUUGGCUUCACAGAAAAGUAUGAGGUCGUCGACAAAAAAUAAGUGAGAAAUUGUUGGACCCCCUCUUGAUAGAAAAUAUCGGAGACCAACUUCCAUAGCUUACAGCCUCAUCAAUUAAAUGCUCCAGCCUUUCCAGGCAAAGUACAAACAAGUAACAAGACAGUCGGUCUCCUUGUCUCAAACCGUGCGUUGGACAAAAACUUUCUGUGAUCCUACCAUUCCAUAGUAUAUGAAAAGAUACAGAAUAAACACAGUUCAUAAUCACAGAUACCAAUAGUCUUGGUGGACCCACUUCAAAAGUGGGUCUUCCAAAAAAUCCCACCUGACUCUGUCAUACACCUUCUCCAAAUUGAUUUUUAAAGCCAUUCCAUAUUUUCUACCUUUGAAACCUUUCAUAGAGUGUACAACUUCCUGAGCAACUACAAUAUUAUCAAUGAUAAACCUCCCUGCAACAAAGCUAGCUUGGUUCUGAUUAGUGAGCUUGAUCAUCAAAGGCCUCAGAUUAAUUACAAUUGUUUUCAUGAUGACCUUGUAAGCCAUCGUACACAGGCUAAUCAACCUAAAUUAAGAUAUUCUCUACGGGACUUGGACUUUUGGCAAUAGAACAAUCAGAGUUCUAUUAAUCAUAGGAUCUACAGAUGCACCUCCCAUGAUUUGCCGAACCAUAGAACAGAUCGAGCUACCAACAUUAUCCCAAUUUUCCCGAUAAAAUUUAGCAUGGAACUUGUCAAUUCCUGGAGCCUUCAAGGGUGCCAUACUAAAAACAGCUCUGCGUAUUUCAUCAUCAGAAAUAGACAACAUCAAACAUUCCAUAUCAGCCGUGGGUAUCAGUGGGAACAUACCUUGGCUAGGAGGAUAACCAUUGAUCGGAUACUCUGUUGCAUAUAGGUCUUUGAAGUAGUUCACCACAUGUUGUUUCAAAGAAUCAUCGUCAAAACACCAUUCAUCAUUUCAAACCUUCAACCCUUUAAUCUUAUUCCUUCUUCAUCUUGCUAGAGUGCGUCUAUGGAAAUAACUUGUAUUUCUAUCUCCAUAUUUAAGCCAUUUCGAUCUAGAUUUUUGGAAACACAUUAGUUCUUCAUGGUUCAGAAUUUCUUCAACCUCUUGGCCUAAGUUUAAUUCACGUUCAUGGAGACACGACGAGGUCAUUAAAUCUAGAAUUUUUUGCACCCUGUUCAAUUCAGAAAUAAGUUUCCUUUUACGCACAAAGAUGUUUUCGUAAAAUCAUUUAUUCCAAUCUUGCACCACAUUUUGAAAACAUUCCAAAUUCCUUUCAAUCCCUAUAUAAUUUCUCCAAGUUUUCCUCACAAGGUCUUUAAACUCGGAAUGUAGCAUCCAACUAGCUAGAACCUGAAACGAACGACAAUCCCUUUGAACAAUCGGGCUUAGAGAGACCAAAAUUGGACAAUGGUCGGAUUUCAGCCGAUGAAGAUUAUGGACCGUACAGUUUGGCGCAAAGAAGUCCCACUCUGAAUUGCCGAUCAAGUCUCUGAGACAGGUUCCUUCUACUCCAUGUGAACUGAGGACUGUUGUAGCCCAAAUCCCAAAUCUUAUUGUCAAACAGGAAAGACUGAAACCACUUACAACCAAGUCGUUCCUGAACAACACCUCCUACCCUCUCUGAAUCAUGUAACACUGAGUUAAAAUCACCAACAAUCAGCCACGAUUCUGAAAUUGAAUUUUCCAUGACAUCCAAGUUAUACCAGAGAUCCUUCCUCUUCGUUUGUUGCGGGCUAGCAUAAACCACUGUGCAUAGGAAACUAGAAGAGUUAAUCUCGCUGCAAACUUUCAUGUGGACCAUUUGAGGAUGAAUAGCCAGAAUAUCAACUAAAACCGUCGCAUUCCACAGAAUCCAUAUUCCAGCGGCAAAACUAUUAGCUUUAAUCCUACAAGAUUGAGCCAUUCCAAUUUGAGAAAUAAUUAUGUCAGCUCGCGUACAUCUUGUCCGAGUUUCAAAAAGACAAAUGAUCUCCGGCUGAAACUCUUUCCGAUUCUCAAAUAAACUUAUGAAAACGCGGAUGUCUCAUGCCUUGACAAUUCCAAAAAAUAAUUUUUGUGUCCAUAUAAAGCAGAGCGAAAAAAAAAAAAAACCAACAACAGAUUGUGUGCUAACAAAUAACCUUGGCGUUAGUAGGAACUGUAGUACCCAUCUACUCAUCAUCUUCCGAAUUUUCGAUUAUUGUCUCCGUGAUUGCAUGUCUCAGCUCCAACCCAGAGAUAUACCCUCCACAGCUGCCGCUAAAUCCACCGUAGCAACUAUCGAUUUAUUCAAAGAAUCAUCUGGCGAUUUAUGAUGUUGGGCAAUCCCUUCGGCCGAUAACUGACUUCGCGGCCCUUGAAGAAUGCCAUUGGAAGCUACCCUAAAACGAAAAACCCCAUUCUCCUUGCCCGACUCUAUACCCAUUUUAUGCUUGAGCAACCCCCUGUUCUCUUUCUCACUGUUUACUUGCCUGGAACGCCUGAUGCUUGGUUUGAUCUAACUUGGCUGUUAAAGUAAUUGGUUGGAAACCCAUGAUUUGCUCACCUCCAGCAGCCUUGUUGGUGUUCAGGCCAAAAUUAACAUUAGUGGGUCUCUGACCCAUUCCAGUUGAAGACCCAAUAUUCUUAUUGAUAAGCCUCAAAAUUUUAAAGCCCACUUUGGACCCAUUCCCUAACAAAAAUCCUUUACCUUUAGCAUUCGACUUAUUUCUU
RNAcentral lists this long non-coding RNA (5617 nucleotides) under Gossypium barbadense (sea-island cotton). Its description in RNAcentral is "long non-coding RNA (GBAR_LNC011417)". The record is from RNAcentral. Lineage: Eukaryota; Viridiplantae; Streptophyta; Magnoliopsida; Malvales; Malvaceae.